Long non-coding RNA from Lampris incognitus (smalleye Pacific opah), 138 nucleotides. RefSeq lists it as uncharacterized. The transcript has 3 exons. The record is from RefSeq and is a predicted model, not a curated record. Lineage: Eukaryota; Metazoa; Chordata; Actinopteri; Lampriformes; Lampridae.
UGUAUUGUGGUGGCUGUUUUCCUCUUGUUAUGGUUAAAAAGAAGUAAUAAGCCGAUGAGGUCAAACGAUGUCAAAGAGUUGAUGAAGACACCAACAAAAACCAUCAUUGAGUGCGAGGAGCCUUUAGUGAUACAGAAG